UUCAGAGACGUGGGAACAACGCAAGUCCCACUUACAACACUUAAGAACAUUCUCAUGAUGACCGUUGAACUGGAAAAACUGCUGUAGUUCCUCACUGAAUAUUGGUUGAAGACUUCAUUGGCUUACUACCUGGACUUCUCCACACACUGCCUGAAUGUCCUCCCCACAUAGCUAGAGUGAAUGAACUAAAAAAGAGAGAGAACACACACAGCCCAGGCUGGAGUGCAAUGGCAGGAUCUUGGCUCACCGC
Molecule: long non-coding RNA, 250 nt
Filed under: Homo sapiens (human)
Lineage: Eukaryota; Metazoa; Chordata; Mammalia; Primates; Hominidae
Description: HSALNT0390154
Source: RNAcentral